Suricata suricatta (meerkat) is the source of this 311-nucleotide long non-coding RNA. RefSeq lists it as uncharacterized. NCBI's taxonomy places the organism in Eukaryota, Metazoa, Chordata, Mammalia, Carnivora, Herpestidae. The transcript is spliced from 3 exons. The record is from RefSeq and is a predicted model, not a curated record.
AUCUUCAAAAGCAGCUGAUUCAGGAACUGAUUCAGAAACUGAUGCACCGUGUCACGAACAGAGAGCUGCAGCCCCGGUCCAUUUCCGUGGAAGGGAGCGCCCUCUUAAUAGCCGCGUCUAACUCUCUAGUGGCCAAUCACUUGAAGAGCUGUGGCUAUGAGUGUUCACGUUCGGUUUUCUUUUCGGAAACUGGAUUGGCCGCCGAAAAGGUAUUUACUAUGCAAGAUCUAUUAGAACUCCUCAAAAUCAACCCUGAAUCCAGUCUCUACAAAUCACUGAUGUCGGGAUUUCACAACGAAAACAAAAAAGGU